CAGGCUGGCCUCCUGGAGUAUGACAGACCAGAAAUAAGGAAAAAAACAACGGACUGGAUUUUCCUAGUUUCUACAGAUGCAAGAGCCAAAUGACUUUUGAGUGUUUCCUGCCUGGAUGUUGACUUUUGAAACUCAGAUAUUAGAUCAAGCUUCUCAAUACAAAGCCCAGAUCAAGCUUUUCAACACAAAAAGCCAUCAGCCUCAACAAAAUCCUAGGAAGCAGAAUUCAAGCAGUGAAGGAUAAUGUUUUGUUUAAGUUGUCAGUGUUCACCCUUCAAAAAUGUAAAAUAUAAUUCCAAAUCAAAAUCCAA
RNAcentral lists this long non-coding RNA (311 nucleotides) under Homo sapiens (human). RNAcentral describes it as "long independently transcribed non-coding RNA 363 (LINC00363)". The record is from RNAcentral. Lineage: Eukaryota; Metazoa; Chordata; Mammalia; Primates; Hominidae.